RNAcentral lists this ribosomal RNA (586 nucleotides) under uncultured bacterium. RNAcentral describes it as "partial 16S ribosomal RNA". It matches the Rfam family "Bacterial small subunit ribosomal RNA", at positions 355 to 1375 of the family's 1533-position model. The record is from RNAcentral.
UGGGGAAUUUUGGACAAUGGGCGAAAGCCUGAUCCAGCAAUGCCGCGUGUGUGAAGAAGGCCUUCGGGUUGUAAAGCACUUUUGUCCGGAAAGAAAUCCUUGGCUCUAAUACAGUCGGGGGAUGACGGUACCGGAAGAAUAAGCACCGGCUAACUACGUGCCAGCAGCCGCGGUAAUACGUAGGGUGCAAGCGUUAAUCGGAAUUACUGGGCGUAAAGCGUGCGCAGGCGGUUUGCUAAGACCGAUGUGAAAUCCCCGGGCUCAACCUGGGAACUGCAUUGGUGACUGGCAGGCUAGAGUAUGGCAGAGGGGGGUAGAAUUCCACGUGUAGCAGUGAAAUGCGUAGAGAUGUGGAGGAAUACCGAUGGCGAAGGCAGCCCUCUGGGCCAAUACUGACGCCCAUGCACGAAAGCGUGGGGAGCAAACAGGAUUAGAUACCCUGGUAGUCCACGCCCUAAACGAUGUCAACUAGUUGUUGGGGGAUUCAUUUCCUUAGUAACGUAGCUAACGCGUGAAGUUGACCGCCUGGGGAGUACGGUCGCAAGAUUAAAACUCAAAGGAAUUGACGGGGUCAUAGCUGUUUCCU